This 700-nucleotide ribosomal RNA is filed under the name uncultured bacterium. RNAcentral describes it as "bacterial SSU rRNA". It matches the Rfam family "Bacterial small subunit ribosomal RNA", at positions 94 to 828 of the family's 1533-position model. The record is from RNAcentral.
AGUGGCGGACGGGUGAGUAACGCGUAAGAAUCUAACUUCAGGACGGGGACAGCAGUGGGAAACGACUGCUAAUACCCGAUGUGCCGCGAGGUGAAACCUAAUUGGCCUGAAGAAGAGCUUGCGUCUGAUUAGCUAGUUGGUGGGGUAAGAGCCUACCAAGGCGACGAUCAGUAGCUGGUCUGAGAGGAUGAGCAGCCACACUGGGACUGAGACACGGCCCAGACUCCUACGGGAGGCAGCAGUGGGGAAUUUUCCGCAAUGGGCGAAAGCCUGACGGAGCAACGCCGCGUGAGGGAGGAAGGUCUUUGGAUUGUAAACCUCUUUUCUCAAGGAAGAAGUUCUGACGGUACUUGAGGAAUCAGCCUCGGCUAACUCCGUGCCAGCAGCCGCGGUAAUACGGGGGAGGCAAGCGUUAUCCGGAAUUAUUGGGCGUAAAGCGUCCGCAGGUGGUCAGCCAAGUCUGCCGUCAAAUCAGGUUGCUUAACGACCUAAAGGCGGUGGAAACUGGCAGACUAGAGAGCAGUAGGGGUAGCAGGAAUUCCCAGUGUAGCGGUGAAAUGCGUAGAGAUUGGGAAGAACAUCGGUGGCGAAAGCGUGCUACUGGGCUGUAUCUGACACUCAGGGACGAAAGCUAGGGGAGCGAAAGGGAUUAGAUACCCCUGUAGUCCUAGCCGUAAACGAUGGAUACUAGGCGUGGCUU